This 465-nucleotide ribosomal RNA is filed under the name uncultured bacterium. Its description in RNAcentral is "bacterial SSU rRNA". It matches the Rfam family "Bacterial small subunit ribosomal RNA", at positions 926 to 1391 of the family's 1533-position model. The record is from RNAcentral.
CAAGCGGUGGAGCAUGUGGUUUAAUUCGAUGCAACGCGAAGAACCUUACCUACUCUUGACAUCCAGCGAACUUAGCAGAGAUGCUUUGGUGCCUUCGGGAACGCUGAGACAGGUGCUGCAUGGCUGUCGUCAGCUCGUGUUGUGAAAUGUUGGGUUAAGUCCCGCAACGAGCGCAACCCUUAUCCUUUGUUGCCAGCGAUACGGUCGGGGACUCAAAGGAGACUGCCGGUGAUAAACCGGAGGAAGGUGGGGAUGAUGUCAAGUCAUCAUGGCCCUUACGAGUAGGGCUACACACGUGCUACAAUGGCGCAUACAAAGAGAAGCGACCUCGCGAGAGCAAGCGGACCUCAGAAAGUGCGUCGUAGUCCGGAUCGGAGUCUGCAACUCGACUCCGUGAAGUCGGAAUCGCUAGUAAUCGUGGAUCAGAAUGCCACGGUGAAUACGUUCCCGGGCCUUGUACUCACC